This is a non-coding RNA of Dipodomys ordii (Ord's kangaroo rat), 60 nucleotides long. Lineage: Eukaryota; Metazoa; Chordata; Mammalia; Rodentia; Heteromyidae. The record is from Rfam.
GUGGCUCAGUGGUAGAGUGCUUGCCUUGCAUGCAUGAAGCCCUGGGUUCAAUUCCUCAGC